GGCCCGGCUGCGGCGGUCCAGUCCUUUGGUCUGGUACUGCCCGAGUCGGGUCUUGCCUUCUGGCCAACUGCGGUGCCUCUAACCGGGUGCCGUGGCGAACCAGGACGUUUACCUUGAAAAAAUUAGAGUGUUUAAGGCAGGCUCACACGCUUGAAUAUAUUAGCAUGGAAUAAUAGAAUAGGACUGCUGGUUCUAUUUUGUUGGUUUCUAGGACCAGAGUA
RNAcentral lists this ribosomal RNA (221 nucleotides) under uncultured fungus. RNAcentral describes it as "partial small subunit ribosomal RNA". The stretch from base 98 to 221 matches the Rfam family "Eukaryotic small subunit ribosomal RNA", at positions 741 to 864 of the family's 1831-position model. Lineage: Eukaryota; Fungi. The record is from RNAcentral.